UACGAAGGGGGCUAGCGUUGCUCGGAAUCACUGGGCGUAAAGGGUGCGUAGGCGGGUCUUUAAGUCAGGGGUGAAAUCCUGGAGCUCAACUCCAGAACUGCCUUUGAUACUGAGGAUCUUGAGUUCGGGAGAGGUGAGUGGAACUGCGAGUGUAGAGGUGAAAUUCGUAGAUAUUCGCAAGAACACCAGUGGCGAAGGCGGCUCACUGGCCCGAUACUGACGCUGAGGAACGAAAGCGUGGGGAGCGAACAGG
RNAcentral lists this ribosomal RNA (253 nucleotides) under uncultured bacterium. RNAcentral describes it as "partial 16S ribosomal RNA". It matches the Rfam family "Bacterial small subunit ribosomal RNA", at positions 524 to 776 of the family's 1533-position model. The record is from RNAcentral.